CUGGCUAGGACUUCCAGUACUGAUUGCACAGAAGUGGAUCUAGCCACCCAGUGUAGCUACUGGGCUCUUGGCUUUUACUGGGGAGUGUCUUUAAAGAGUACUGUGAUGUGAUCCAUCUUCAGAUCUCUCAGCUGUGGACACUGGAACCUACUCUUGUGGAGGAAGCAGAUAUGUCACUGUGAGAUUCCCUAUGCAGAGGACCAUGUGGCAAGAAACUGAUAUGUCCUUCCAACAACCAGGCCUGAGACCUCACAAGACCCAACUGGAUCUCCCAGACGGAGCAGGCAGACCACCAUUUCUGCUGUCCCACAGCCCUCAAAGUUGUUACUCCCCGGCUCUGGAGGGUGCUCAGUGACUAAAGACUGGUGCAGACCCCCAGCACAGUGUAGCCACCCCAUGAAAAAGUGGGAACCCUCAAGAGACAAGUGAAAAAAUCUCUCUCACAACCAUUGUCAAGAUCCCAUUCCCUGCUGCCUCCAUACUGGGGAGAGAACAUAAAGCUUGAGCUCGCCCCAGACCAGUGGUAUACAGCUCAGGAGAGCCAAGGUGAGAUCUGCAACCAACACUCAAGUGAAAGAGGAGCACACACUUUCAGACCACUGAGGGGGUGCAUGACUGCAAUCGUGAGCAAAUACAGGUGAGCCAUGUGGCUGAAGAAGAGUCUACCUACUGGCCAUUAUAUUUAAGCACCAUCUACUGCAUCACAAUGUAACAUCAACAGCAAAAAUACUUUGUUAAUAUACCCCCUGGGGAACUAAGGACAAUAAUUUAACUACAAAUAAAGACCCUACUCAAAGCC
Symphalangus syndactylus (siamang) is the source of this 799-nucleotide long non-coding RNA. RefSeq lists it as uncharacterized. The record is from RefSeq and is a predicted model, not a curated record. NCBI's taxonomy places the organism in Eukaryota, Metazoa, Chordata, Mammalia, Primates, Hylobatidae.